This 521-nucleotide ribosomal RNA is filed under the name uncultured bacterium. RNAcentral's name for it is "bacterial SSU rRNA". It matches the Rfam family "Bacterial small subunit ribosomal RNA", at positions 988 to 1509 of the family's 1533-position model. The record is from RNAcentral.
CCAGAGAACUUAGCAGAGAUGCUUUGGUGCCUUCGGGAACUCUGAGACAGGUGCUGCAUGGCUGUCGUCAGCUCGUGUUAUGAAAUGUUGGGUUAAGUCCCGCAACGAGCGCAACCCUUAUCCUUUGUUGCCAGCGGCUCGGCCGGGAACUCAAAGGAGACUGCCGGUGAUAAACCGGAGGAAGGUGGGGAUGACGUCAAGUCAUCAUGGCCCUUACGGCCAGGGCUACACACGUGCUACAAUGGCGCAUACAAAGAGAAGCGACCUCGCGAGAGCAAGCGGACCUCAUAAAGUGCGUCGUAGUCCGGAUUGGAGUCUGCAACUCGACUCCAUGAAGUCGGAAUCGCUAGUAAUCGUAGAUCAGAAUGCUACGGUGAAUACGUUCCCGGGCCUUGUACACACCGCCCGUCACACCAUGGGAGUGGGUUGCAAAAGAAGUAGGUAGCUUAACCUUCGGGAGGGCGCUUACCACUUUGUGAUUCAUGACUGGGGUGAAGUCGUAACAAGGUAAGCGUAGCGAG